This 376-nucleotide ribosomal RNA is filed under the name uncultured bacterium. Its description in RNAcentral is "bacterial SSU rRNA". It matches the Rfam family "Bacterial small subunit ribosomal RNA", at positions 523 to 898 of the family's 1533-position model. The record is from RNAcentral.
AUACGUAGGGAGCAAGCGUUGUCCGGAUUUACUGGGUGUAAAGGGUGCGUAGGCGGCCAUACAAGUCAGUUGUGAAAACUAUGGGCUCAACCCAUAGCCUGCAAUUGAAACUGCGUAGCUUGAGUGAAGUAGAGGUAGGUGGAAUUCCCGGUGUAGCGGUGAAAUGCGUAGAGAUCGGGAGGAACACCAGUGGCGAAGGCGACCUACUGGGCUUUAACUGACGCUGAGGCACGAAAGCAUGGGUAGCAAACAGGAUUAGAUACCCUGGUAGUCCAUGCCGUAAACGAUGAUUACUAGGUGUGGGGGGUCUGACCCCCUCCGUGCCGGAGUUAACACAAUAAGUAAUCCACCUGGGGAGUACGACCGCAAGGUUGAA